Otolemur garnettii (small-eared galago) is the source of this 103-nucleotide small nuclear RNA. The record is from Ensembl. NCBI's taxonomy places the organism in Eukaryota, Metazoa, Chordata, Mammalia, Primates, Galagidae.
AUGUUUGCACUAGCAGCCCAUAUACUAAAAUUGGAAUGAUACAGAGAUCAGCAUGGCCUGGUGCAAGGAUGACACACCAAUUUGUGAAGCAUUCCACACUUUU